RNAcentral lists this long non-coding RNA (1483 nucleotides) under Monodelphis domestica (gray short-tailed opossum). Its description in RNAcentral is "lncRNA (ENSMODG00000036779.1)". Lineage: Eukaryota; Metazoa; Chordata; Mammalia; Didelphimorphia; Didelphidae. The record is from RNAcentral.
AAGGAAAAAGAAUACUGAGAAAUACAAAAAGAGUUCUGGGGAACGUAGUUAAAAGGUAGAAAAUUUCUACUUAUACAAAGGCAACUGUUUGGGAAGUGAAGAGAUGACUGGCCUGCAUGCCUUCUUUUAAUGGAGGUUUUAAAAAGAGCCCUCUUCCCUUCAGAGGGAGGUACCUCAGAGAGCAAGGAUAUUGAGGAGGUGUGAGGUCAAGGGUCAAAGUGAUCUUGCAGGAUAAUGUGGUUCCUAAGACAUACUGGAGAAGACCCAAAGAGUUUAGUCUUGUCCUUGAACUCUCCCACAGGUUUGGCCCAGAACACCUUCCUCACUGGGGGCUGUGGAAAUCUACAAAACAAAUAAAUAAACAAAUUGCCCUCGGUUCUGAUUCCUUUCUAUAUUUUAAGACAAGAGAAGGCUUUAUAGUAUUUCAGAAAUAACUUUGUUCAUCAGCAUUCUGAUUAUUGAUCAUUAAACUGUAAAAAAGGAUAUAAAUUGAACAAAGGCAUUCUCCAUAAUCACAGAGAAUUUCUUGAGGAAAAAUUCUCCUUUUUAUAAGGAUUUUCUAUGAAAUAAGAGCUAGACACUCAAUGGAUAUAUAAUGGCAGGUAUGGAAACAGGAAGACUCAUUUUCUUGGAGUGAAAUCUGGUCUCAAACACUUAUUAGCAGUGUAAGAGAGAGGAAUAUGCAAAAUUAAACCCAUUUGCCUCACUUUCCUUACUGUAAAAUGAUCUGGGGAAGUAAAUGGUAAACCACUCCAGUAUCUUUGCGAAGGAAAUCCCAAAUAAGGUCACAAAGAAUCAGACAUGAGAGAAAUAACUGGACAACAACAACAAAAUCAAAAGGAAGGCUUCUCAGAUGUUCCUCUUUGCAGAUGGUGUUAUGGUGAUAGCAACAUAUCCUGUAACAAUAUGUGGCCAAUCAGUGCAGUUCAUGAGAACUCAAAAGGAAUUGAGAUUGUGGAUUCAAACAUCAACAGGAAAACAAUCUAUAUCCCCAAGAAACUCAAAUAUCACCUGAGUGAGUUGGUUGUUAAACCAAUAUUACUUAACAUACUUUAGAGAAAUCAUCUCCUGACAGGUUUCAGAAGAUAGCUCCUUCCAGGCCUGCUGACCUCCUUCCCUCUGUCAACCAGUCUCUCUUCAAAUUGAUGAUAUAAUCCACCAAUUUUCCAGAAUGUUCUGAAAUCUUCUGAACCAACUGUCACCAACAUCUCUCAGGAUUUUCUGAGGAAAAACCAAAACACCUACAAUUUCUGAGUGUCAAAACAUACAAAAAGACAUUUAUUUUGUCUCAGAUCCUCAGGGCUCUUAGAAAAUCUCUUAAAUAAUUUUCAUGGAAAUUCCAGCUACUUCUUAAGGUAACCUGUCCACAACCUUUCUCUCAACUGGAGAACUUAUACACAACCAUGUUAAUUAACCCAAUUUCCUAAUUAACUCUUAAUUAACUAACACAUAUUCCAUUACAAUCCUUUCCUAAAAACAACUG